This 23395-nucleotide long non-coding RNA is filed under the name Homo sapiens (human). RNAcentral's name for it is "HSALNT0114337". Lineage: Eukaryota; Metazoa; Chordata; Mammalia; Primates; Hominidae. The record is from RNAcentral.
GUAUUAACCUUAGCCAAUUAUUUUAUAAUCUUUUUCAUAAUGCUUGAUCUGAAUAGAUGAUAUUCCCUACUGUAAUCCAGCUUGCAAAUAUUUUCCUUCACUUCUGGAUUUUAUUCAAUUUAUUAUGGCUUGUUUGGCUUCUGAAGUUUUUCCUCUAUUUUUUUUCCUAUGUCUGACUUCUCAUGACAGAUUUAGAGUUGUUUUAUUGUGUGAGGACAAGCUUUUUUACAUAGAAAAACACAGAAAAAAGGAAGUAGACAGUGAGGAAAGAAGAAAGAAUAUUGUAUAGAAAGAGAAUAGCUAUACAGUUUAAGGAUUAUGUUAGCAAAGAGUUUAAAAUAUAGGUGAAUAGGAAAAUAAAGUCGUAUUUCAUCACAAGAUAGAGGGAUAUUCCUUGGAAAAAAUCAUUUUUCUGUUUCACCAAAGUUUGGUCAUUUGGUCUUUAAUCUUUGUCCUUCUUCAGAGUCAUGUGGCAACACUUCUCUCCCUUCUGCUGUAGCUGAUGCUUGUCUAGCCUUCUCUGGGCAGAGGCAAGGUCCUGUUUUCCUCCCUCUAUUUUCUUUGUAAUUUUUGAUCAGGCAUGAACUUGUUGCUUUUUUCCUUUUGUGGUGGACCCUUUUGACUGUCAGAAGCUCAGUGUCACAACUCAGUUUUGAAGCAUAUAUAUAUAAAGAGAGAGAGACUUUUUUUUGAAGCCCUGCUACAGUAGGUGAAUACUUGCAGAGGAAAAUAGAUGCCUAAUGGAAAAGAUUGAUGAAUUUCUGCGCAGAAAACAUGCAAAAUAUUAAUUUCAAGAUAUAACUCAGUACUUUAACAAAAAUAAGAAGUAGACACUGGGAAAUAGGAUAAUUCAAUUUUGCUAAUUUCCUUUAGGGAAAAAUCAAGCUAUUACACUUUUGUUUUACACUUUAAUAAUUAUAGAAAUGUUGUUUUCAUUUGUAUUCCUAAAGUGUUAAGAUAGCUAUUAAUAAAACUAAAUUUUACGUCAAAGAUAGUGUUAAAAAGGAGACAACAAUGUACAAAAAUAAUACCUUAAAAAGAGAAAGAGAAAUGAAUUAUUUGAAAUAUACCAAUAUGCAACAGAUGCACAUUAGUUAGGAUGUGUGGUUAAACUUAAGGCUGUAGAUUAGGUUAAAACCAAAGUCCAACAAUAUGUUUCUUAAAAGAAAUGUGCAACUAAUUUAAAAAGAGAUUUAAUAAUGAAAAAAACAAACUAAGAUAAAUUAGGGUAAAGAUAAAGUAAAAUAAAUGAUGGCAAUUUAUUUCUGUAAAAUUAAAUUUUGAGACAUCAAUCUCUUUGAUAAAAGGAACAACUAAUGGAACAAUUCAUAGUCACAAACUUCUAUGCCAUUUGUUAACAAAGUACCAAAUAUAUAAAACAAAAUCUGUUCAAGUGUAUAGAGAAUUUGUGAGGGGUACAAUUUUUCCAUGUUUUAACAUUCAUAAUUGAUUAUGCAAGUGAAAUAAAUUGUUCAAAAUAUAAUAAUGAAGUUGAUGUAAAAAUAUGUAUUUAUUCAUUCUGAAAACAUUUAGUGAGGGCUUACUGUGUGUCAGACAUUCUUUCAGAUGCCAGAGGAUGCUAUAGAAAAAUGCGUGCCCUCUUGUAAUACUUUGUUCAAGUUCUGAUCAGAAGGAUGAAUGAUGGAGCCCAAGAAGCCAGAGUCUCAUUGUGUUGCUCAGGCUGGAAUCCAGUGGCAUGAUCUCGGCUCAGUGCAACCUCCGCCUCCUGGGUUCAAGCAGUUCUCCUAGAUCAGCAUCAGCGUCCCGAGUAGCUGGGAUUACAGGCACCCGCCACCAUGCCUGGCUAAUGUUGGUCAGGCUGGCUCGAACUCCUGACCUCAAGAGAUCCACCUGCUUUGGCCUCCCAAAGUGCUCGGAUUACAGGCAUGAGCUGCCACACCCAGCCUCCAAAUACUUUUUUUUUAAAUCAAAAUAAUGAUUUCAAUGACUGAGAUCUGUUAUGUAUUUCAACAUAAUCAUGUUUCAUAAAGAUUUAGUCUUCUGAAAGCCAGUGUGAAUUGUUUUUUUUUCUACAAGUUUAAUCAAAACCAAACAAAAUCAACAAACCUCUACCCCCAAAUGUGGUACUGUUUCCUAAAAGAAUGCAUUUCCUUUUUACUUCCAUCACCAUACAUUGGUUAAUGACUUCUGCACUUAAAAUUCCUAACACACCUCACAUAGCUCUUUUGUGCAGUAACACUUUUCUUCUCUCCAAAUAUGUGGUUCAAUGGAAGUUACAUUUUUUAAAAUUAUAUUUUCCUCCUCACAACUUAUUGGUUCUAAGAUUUAUACCCUUUCCAAUGUGUAUAAGACUACUGUGAUUUUGGGACAUGGGACCAAGUGUAGCAUGUCUGAUCCUAUCUUUGAUGGCAAAUACUUCUGCUGUGAGAUAUGGGAGCUGCUGAGUGAAAAUCUUUUACUGAUAAUAAAGCCAGUUGUCAGAGGGAAGCAAAAGUAAGAGAAGAAGAGACUUGAGGUGACUUUAAUGAAAACUCCUACCUGCCAAAACUAGGCAAAAAUAUGACAUACAUAAAUAUAAAUUUCCACAAGGAAAUUUCUUUCCCACCUUUCUAUAUCUUUCUUACUCUUUAUCAUCACAUUUACUAAUAGAGAUAUUUAAUGUUCUUGAUACUCAAAGUGCAUUUGAUAUACUAUUUCUUACUCAUCUCUUCCCUACCCCUGUUUCAUAUGGGGAGCUCCAGGCAACCUAGUGGGAUGGGAAUUGGGGACUGAGAGCGAAGAAGUGUAGCAAUAGCAUUAGCACAGUAUUGGGGAAAGAGAGAGGAAACUGACAACAUUCCUUCUUCUCACUAUUGUUGUAGCUUGAGGAAGGCCUUUGCUUGGGGAGGUGAAAAUGAAGGCUCAACUACAAAAUGCAAUUUAAUUAACAAGAUGGGAAUUUUCCUCAGAUAAGAGUGACUGUUAGACUUAUUGUGCCAGAAUAAUGGCAUAAUAAUAAUGUUAUGAAGACUAUCUAAGAUUUCUCCCAGAGAAAAGAGGAAGAACAUAUCAUGGUGGAUUUCCAGGCCACAGUGAAAAAGAAUAGUUUUUUUGAAUAGUUGCGUCCUAAUGAGUUAUGUUCGUUCAAUGUAGCAGUUAGAGUGGUAUAAUAUGGGCAUGAACACACUACAGUUGUUGGCCCCAAAGAUUAAUAACAAUGGGCAUAAAACAUGGAAUAAGAUACAUAAAUACUUAUUUAUAUUGUCUCAAUUUAUGACAAUAGGAAUACUGUAAAAACUGAUACAAAGCAAGUAAUUCAAAUAAUGAUAAUUAUAACUUUAAAUCAAGAAACAGAACAAAUUGCUUAAAUUACAUGCCAGAAAAGAUGGCUAAAAAGGUUUCAGUGUCAAUAAUUAUAACAGGAAAUCUUCCUUUAAAUCAUUUUUACAAGAACAAUAAUUUUAAGCAUCUCAAACACAUGCACAUUUACAUUACCACAUACGUGCACCCUCUCAUUCUUUGGGCCAUCAUAAGUAGUAUAAUAUUAUGAUGCUUUCAUUUAUUUGUUGCACAUACACUCAACUCCUUCUAUAUUUAUGGCCUGUUGCUGGGAUCUAGGGAAAAAUGCUAUACAAAUAUGCAAUGAACUCACUCUCCAGGGGUAUAUUUCCUACUUUGGAGACAGUUAACUAACAAGGCAGACAUGAUGCAGUUUGGCUGUAUCCUCUAAGAGGUGAAGUUUUAGGACCGCAAGUAGACAGAAGGGGUUGAGGAAUGAGGAAGCAGAGCUUCUAGAUAAGGGUUUCUGCUAAAAAAAAAAAAAAAAUGUGCCGCAGAAACAGAUGGAGGUUAGGUAGGAGUACACUAAAAAAUAAAAACAAAAGAAGAACAAAGGAAUGGAACCCAUGUUUUAAGAAGCCUAGAAAGCAGGAAUAGUAUGAGUACGUUGAAGGGGAAGGAGAAAAUAGACGAGAGGCAAGCAGAGGCCAAAUCACAGCUGAUCUGGUAAUGCAUGUAAAGGAGUUUAGACUUUAAGAGUAAUAUCAUCAAGAAUAGUUUCAAGCUAUGGAACUCAAGUGGAAAUGACACUAAAAUAUUUGCUUUAUAGAAAGAUCUUUUUGAAUUUUUGAUUCCUAAAAAUAUGAUGGAAAUUCCUAUGGAUUGAAAUAACAGAUAUGCUGAAACCAAAACAAACUGCUGUGUUCUAAAUGUGUCCUCCAAACUUCGUAUGUUGUAACUUCAUUGCAUUGUGAUAGUAUUAAAGGUAGUGCCUUUAGGAGGUGAUUAAGUCAGAAGGGCAGAGUCCUCAUGAAUGAAAUUAGAGACCUCAUAAAAGAGGCUGAAGGAAGUCUCUUUUGCCCUUCUGACCAUUCAGCCAUGUGAGGACAAGUAUUUGUCCACUUAGGAGGGUACAGCAACAAAGUGUCAUUAUUGAAAGCGAGAACGGCCUGCACCACACACGAAACUUGCCAGUGCAUUGAUCUUGGACUUCCCAGCCUCAUGAACUGUGAGAAAUACAUUUCGAUUAUUUAUAAAGUAACCAGGCUAUGGUAUUUUGUUGUAGCAGCACAGAUGGACAAAGACACAAACAUAUACAAGUUUUUAAAGCAUCACUGGGAUGAUAAGAAAUUCACCAAUGCCAAAAAAAAUAUUUUAAUUAAAAAAAGAUGAAAAGAACCUUUUUAGCUUUGAUAUGGUUUGGAUAUUUGUCCCUGCCCAAUUCUCAUACCGAAGUGUAAUCCCCAACAUUGGAGGUGGGACCUGGUAGGAGGUGUUUGGAUUAUGGGAGCCGAUCCCUCAUGAAUGGCUCUGAACAUCCCCUUGGUUAUAAGGGAGCUCUCAUUUUGAGUUCACAUGAGAUCUGGUCAUUUAAAUAUGUGUGGCAUCUCCCCCCAUUCUGUCUCUCUCUUGCUCCUGUCUGGCCUUGUGAACUUGCUGGCUCCUCCUUCACCUUCCACUAUGAUUGUAGGCUUCCUUUGGCCUCCCCAGAAGCCAAGAAGAUCCCAGCACCAUGUUUCCUGUAAAGCCUGCAGAACCGUGAGCCAAUUAAACCUCUUUUCUUUAUGUAAUACACAGUCUCAGAUAUUUCUUUAUAGCAAUGCAAGAACAACCUAAUGCAAGCCCCAACAAUUUCUGUGGAAAAAUGGAAGUUCAACUCUUCCUCUUUGCAGACUGCAUACAAUAUAGCAUAUGACACACUGUGGGGAAGCAUCAAAUAAGAGACUUCUUCAUAAGAUUAGUCCUCAAAAACAGUGAUUAAAUAUAUAUUAAGCCCCUACUCCUCAGAAGUGACAGCAAAGAAAUUUGGCUUUCUCAUUUUUGGCAUUGGGUACAAGGAACAAAAUGAUGUGAUGAUAGAUAAGCAUUAGCUAGUUAUUACAGAAGAUUGCAUUCUGAAUAUGUGACUAUCUUUAAAAAGUACAAUCUGCCACAUGUAACAGAGUUAACUGGAACACUGCUUAUGUGUUAAGAAAAGUUUUAAGGUGAGAAAUUAAGUUCAGGUGGUCUCAGGUAAUCAAAUGCAAGUUCUCUCCUGAAAAACAUUACAAAACUUGGAUUAUAGGCUACAGGUAAAUUAUAUUGUGAUUUUUUUCAGUAUUUCUCAUUUCAUUUUAUAUUAUACCCUUCUAUUUUGUAUCUUAUUAGCCCUUGGAUUUAUGAAUGUGUCUGAUGAUUCAAUGUGAUGAUUUGUUAAGAUAAGGUAUGAAAUGGAAGAGGAGUAUGUUAGGCUGGUACCGAUGGAUAAUUCUGAUAAGGUUAGUGAUGAAGGCUUACAUUCUGCCGAGCCAUGUAGUGGUGUGGAAAGGGACACAUAAAAUCUCCUUUUCCAACAAAAUCUCUCAGUGAAUUUUACUUGAGCUGAUAGUCCAACCUGGCAUAUGUCUUUCUGUCUUCUCUGACAAACUCAAAAUGCAACAUUAUUUCCAGGAAAAUUAAAGACACUAAUUUCAAAUCACAGUCAUUGGAUAAAUGAUGGUACUGAUUGUUCUAUACAACUAUUAGAAUCUACAAUAUAAUGUUUGUUGAAAAGUACAUCCUGUGAAAAGGAUAUAAGUUAUGUAUCAGCAGAAAAUAUUGUCCAGAAAAGUCACACAAAUGGUCAAAACCUAAUAAUGCCAGCAUGUAAAAAUACACUGAGAUAAUUGCUGAGAAAAGAUGCUGAAGAAAAAUUUGAAAAGAUUCUACUUUUAAGGAGUAUCAUCAAGGCAUUGAUGAUAUGUUACAAUAUAUUGAAGAGGUUUUGUGUAAUAAACUGAAAAACCAGAACCCUAAUAUCCAAGUUGAUGAAUAGAUUUCACCAAUAAAUGGCAUUCUGUAGUAUUUGUAAUAUUUGUAAAUGAUAAUAAAAUUCACAGUAACAUUCCCUGUGCAAAGAGUGGUCUGAAACAAGCAAAGGACUAGAUAUAUUUAAUGUAUUAUCUUUAUAUCUGAAACAGAAGUUCUAUCUUCGAUGGGUUGUAUUAGCAUUUGCACUAGGUACUCCAUCAAUAGUUGGCUCCUUGAAGAUUUUACCUCUUGUAUUAAGCCAAAGUCCAAAUACUGUCAUCAAACAAUACUUUGUUCACAAACUGGUGCUAGUGUAAAGAAAGUCAUGGAAAGGAAAGAAUAAAAGUUCAGAAAUACCACAAAAAAUGGUCAAUUUUAUUAAACCCAAACCAGCUUGCUUAAGAAUCUUUUAAAAAAUGUAUAAAAACCUGGGCAAAUAAUCUAUGAAUAUAUGCCCAGUUGUCUCCAGGAAGUAAGAAAUUUACCUUGUCUACACCCAUGGUUUUAUAUGCUGCCCAUAUAUUAAUAGAGGGAAGAGGGAGAGGGUCCUCAGUAAUCAGUAAUUGUAAACAUUCAUGCUUGUUGGAAUGGUCUUCCCAUGGCCCAGUACUUUCUGCUGCAAAAGAGCACCCUCAGUAUGAUGGACAAAUUGCUAGUCAAAUUGAGAAAUUUGAGUAAAGUCAGAGAGACUUUGUCAAAAAAAAAAUCCCUACUGGCACAGAAGCUCUGUAGAGAAGACAUACUCUAUAUAGAACACAGAAUUAAGAUUUACCCAGUAUGGUAUGCCUACAAUUACAUAAGUUGGAAUUUCCUUGGGAAGUGAUUUUGGCAAAUGUUGAAGAGAAAAUCAGCACCUAUUUAUAGAAACCAGAAUUUAAAAAAAAAUCCUUUGAGUGGGGUGGUCUUUCUCAAACUUGAAGAGAUAACCAAGCCAGAUUUGAUUAGAUAAUUUAAAAGUUUAUCCAUGUGCCCAGCUCUCUGCACAAACACCCUAAAGAAAGUAAAUUCUUUGGGAGAGGCAACUGUAUAAUUUUUAAAGCUUAGGCUAAAUAUGAUGUAGUGCCAAAACUACAGAUUUUUUGAGAAGUUUAGAUGUCUAUCUAAAAAGCAUUUUAAAGUAGGUUUGAAAAAAAUUCAGGAUUAUUUUAAGAAUGGACAUCUCUAUGAGAAGGGUUAAGAGGAACAUUGAAAACAUUGCCCUGCAAGGUUAUCCAAGGCAUGUAUCAAUGUCUCAGUGAACAGUCACUUGCUUAGAAGCCUUUGGUAGUGAGGAUUUGCAUAUUAAAUUACUGGACACCUACCGGAAAGCAGGAGAAGCAUCCAAGAUAUGCAUAUUGAUUCUGGAAACGCUGAAAUAGCAAGUUGAAGAGAGAAGGGGACUAUCACUGGGAACAUCAUAUCAGAAUUCAUCAGAGAAAAUGCCAACAGGAGCUGUCUUUUACUUAAUAUAGUGAGAAAAGUGUGAGCUUCCAAUGACAACAGGACCAGGCACAGCUCCUGUGGAGAGCACGCAGAAGAUAGGAGCAAAUCUUUAGGCCAUCCUCUUCUCCUGUUCCAAUGGAUGGUUACACAAGGAUGGGAGUUGGGUGGGGUAAAAAAUGCAAUGGGAAAUAUUAUCCUACUUUGGGAGGUGAAGGAUAAUCAGAUAAUGAUUUUCAAAACUGAAGGGAGACAGAGGCAAGUAGAAAAUAAGGCAAAGAGAAUUACCUAGAAUGUUUACUCUUAUGUAUAGCUUGGUUUUAUGACCUGGCUGGUUGUGAUUCCCAUAUAUUAAUAAGUGGGUUCAUGGUCAGGACUUACAGGGCCAGGGCCAGGGUGAAGACUUUUAACAUGAAAAUUAUUUGAUUUAACCUCAGAAUUUAAUGUUACAGAAAUUCUCAAAGAUUGUAUCAAGGUACAUUGCUCAGUGUCAUAGUACACCUACUACUAGAUAGGAUUCUUUCAGGGACAUAUGUCUGGUGUGUAAACUAACAUUCUUUCUCUGUUUGCUAGUUGCUCUGAGGUUACUACAGCAGCCCCUGAUUUAUCUAUGUGGACAAUAUCCACAGAAUUUAAGCAUUAUGGUCCUGUUGCCUUGUGAUAAUGAAAAAGCAUCUAACUCUACAUUACUAGAUGUCAAUUUUGCUACAAAACUUGGAUUUUGACAAUCACACUUCCACCUUAUACACACUUGGGCAAGAAAGUUUCUAUUAGAGCCCGGAGAAAUACCACCUACAGACAAGAUCCUUAGAUUUCAGAGAUUAAAGAUGUUGUAAAGCAGGGACUCCCUAUCACCCAGUGGAGCAUGAACAAGUUGAAAUUACACGCCCUUUCUGAAUGAAGAAUGUAGCCCAUGCAUUUGUUAGCUCAGUGGUACUUGUGGUCACAGAUAAACCCCACAAUACCAGUGUUUUAAAACAGAUAAAAUUCAUUUCUUAUUCUUACGAAGUUGAAAAUAUAGUUAUGUGCUUGAGCUGAUUCACAUCAGAUCACAAAAACUGACUAGUUAAUUUUCAGUAAUUGUGUGAGCCAAUUGUUAGUCAUAGUCAUUAUUUUAAAAUAAACACAUAAUUAAAUUAUAUUAAAAACAAAUCUAAUUAAUAAUCAAAAUCCAUCACAUCCUAAUAAUGCUACUAAUAUCUCUGCUGUAGUGGUUAUUAACUUCUAUUGUAUUUGUAUAAUAGAAAUUUUAUGAAAUGGCGUGAUAUGCACAUCUCUUCCUAACUCUGUAUUCAGUGCUGAGACCUUAGCAUGAACACGGUCCAAUUUAAAAGUCAUCAAAGGCAACCUACUUACUAAAUAUUUUGUCACAUAACAUAGGUCUCCAUCUUCCCAUCCUCCAACAUCAAUUUCCUUGUAAUCUGCACCCCAGUGCCUAGGUCAAUAUUAUCAUUUUUAGGUUUUGGCCGGCAAUAUCACAUUCUAACUCAUUUCCAUAUUAGUUAGGAUAACAACAUCUACAGCAACUCCAAGACAUCAGUGAAUUAAUAAAUUUGCACUUUAUUUCUGGCUCACAUAAAUCCACAAAUGUUGCUAUUCUCCUCCAAAUGACUCUUUGCAUCCUGAGGCUCAAUCUUUGACACCUGAUUUCCAAAUUUCCCCAGGGAUCCAUCCUAUCUAGCCAGAAUGGAAAAAAAAAAAAAAAAAAGCAAAGAGGAUCGUGUGGGAAGGAUCUAUGGACCAGACCUGAGGAUAGCACAUACCAUCUUUCUCUUGUAUAGAACUCAGUUUCAGGCCACAUGGAUGCUGGGAAAUAGAGACAUCUGUGUGCACAGGUAGAAAAUAACAUAGUUCUAGUGAGGAGCCAGCAUGCCUGUGCACACCCUCAGAUGUGUGAACUCAGAGUCACACGUAGUAACUUUCUUACCUAUCAACCAAUAUCUCAUCUGAUACCACCCAAGCCAACUCAAAUAGUCACGACAUCAGUUAAUGCCAUCAUUAUCUGGUACUUAGGAAAUUGAGCUCAGAGAGGUGAAGUGACUUGCAACAGUCAAAAUGGAACUGACAGAAGCCAUGGUAGAAGCUGUGCUCAUAAACAUAUUUGGUUGAAGUAUGUACUCUGCCUCAGCUUACCUCCCUUCUUCCUUAUCCAAACAUGCUGGAGUAACCUUAGCAUAUCCCUGGAGUUUAAGGGCUAUGCUGAAAUAAUCGCUGUUCUGUGUCAUCUCUGGUUAAAUUUCUCCAAGCUGGCUCAGGACUCCCAAAAACCUCUCUUUCAGCAGGUAAAGCUCUCAAGACGUAAGAUAGUAUGGCAAGAAAUUAGUAGGGAUAGAAGAAAUUAUUUAGUUUCAUCUUAAAUGUUUAUAGCAUAUUGCAUCAUUAAACUUUUACAUGAAUUUGUUUGGGAUAGUUUUACUAAUGGUAAAAAUAAUAUCUUUACAUUGAGCUAAAUUUGCCUCCAUGUAAUUCCUAUGGAUUGUUUCCUAACUGAAUUGCAGGGAAGAAUAAUGUAAGUGUAAUUCUUCCAAGUUACAAAUUUUUAAAUAUUUAGAAGUGACCAUCUCACCCCAGUUUUCUGUUUUACAUGAAAUAAUUACAGGUCCUUUACCUGUCUAUUUUAUGGCAUCAGUUCUGCAGCCUUUAUCUUCCUCAAUACCUUUUGAAAAUAUGGUACCUAGAAGGUAAUUUAAUUUCCCAGGUGUGCUCUGAGCAUUAGAUUAGGAAUGCUCUCCAUUAUGGACUAUGCAUUCUUCUUUAUUUCUUUUUCUCCCACUGUGGUUCCUCUGGGAAGGCAUUGCUUUUUUUCAUCAUAGAAUUAUUAUUACUAUUUCAACACUGAACUUCCUUUCUCAUUAUAUGUUUGGCCCUGAAUACUGUCUCCUCCGUAUCCCUAUUUCUACAACAUCAUUCACAGUAAUGAGAUCUAUUGUUACUCAUCUGGUUAUUAAAUCAGCUCCUGUUGUCUAUAGGUUUGUAUUUUCAUCAUUAGUUCUGUAUCCUAAAUACUUCAAGUAAGCAAUUCCAUUUGCCCACAGUAAUCAAUAUGCAUUUAAUAUUUCAUUGGUUUUUACCACUAUCAGUUAACCAUGAUUUUACCAACUAGUACUUCCUUAAUUACAAAGUACUAAAAAAGAUCUUUUUCUUAAUCUUUGGCAACAUCAAUAUCAGCAUAUUUGAUUAUGAAUAACAAUAUAUUUAAAGAUAAAGAUGACUUCCUGAUUUAAUGCUUGAUUCAAUUUCCUCUCUAGACCCAGGAGGGAGUUAUUUAAGAGAUCCCAAUUAGGAAUGAUUUGAAUUAAUUGCAGCAACAUAACGUACACACUGCAUUGCAUUCCCAAUUAAGUUAGAAAGAGAUGGAAGAUAUUCUGCUGACAGCAUGUCUUUAUUGGGCUAAUAGUCAUUAUUUACGUAUCAUCAAUUCUUUAUCUAAUGUCAAGUAUUUUGUUUCUUCAGAACACAAAUAAGCAUUAUUAAGAAAAAACAAUACCAAUGAAUAAUAAAUUUAGUGAAUAAGAAUAAGAUUGGAAAAUGCAGCAUAAAUUGACGAAUCCUCAAGUACCCAAAUCUUUACUUCUGUCUGCACAUAAAAAUUAGAUGUCAACACUAUGUAGGAUUUGGAUGACUCCCUGGAGCCCAUUCUGACCUCAGAUAAAAGCUAAAUAUAUUGAGCCUUAAUUGAUUUCCAUUUGAUACUGAAGUUAAAAUGUAUCAUGGAGCAUGUGGAGAUUCUUACAGUGUUUAGAAUAUUCAUAAAACUAAAUUAUUCUCAGAGGGAAAAAUGCUUUAAUAAUGACACAUUAGAAUGGUAAGUAUUCUUUUAGUAAUAAUAAUCAUUGGCUCUUAAUCAUAAAAUAUUAGCUUCAAACUAUUACACUAUUUUUAAAAGAUUGUUUUUAUUGUGUUUAAUAUCGUUUUCCAAUUUAAUUCUAAUUUUCGUUUGAUGUUUUUAUGUAAUAUGAACAAACAUAUGACUUGAAUUAACAACAUCAAUACUUUAAAUCUCAGAUUUGCUACUUGUUUUUGUGUGACAGUGUAUACGUCAGUUUAGCUUGCAUGAUUCUCAUUUUAUUCAUGUGUAAAUUUAAGAAUAUACCAUUUCUUUCACCAAAUGUUAGUUGCUGAAUAAAUGCAUAGAUGUGUGUGUGUGCACACACAUGCAUGUGCACAGAGGUGGGGGGAGAGAGAAAAGAAAGGGAGAGAUUGUUAUUUUGUUUUGGAUCAAAAUAUUUCUCCCACAGGAUGUUCUUUGCACAAAGGCAAAUCCCUAUAUGUAAAUGGUAGAACACUUGAAUAAGAUACUGUGGUUUUAUGGGAGAAUUUUAAUCAAAUAAUUUAAUUUGAUAAUAUGUGCCUAUUGCACGUAUAUAGAAUUAGACUAAUCCCUCCUCCACAUGACCCCUCUGAUUGAAGUCAAUUCCAAAUUCUAGCUGAUACCUACAAAAUGUAACUCAAUGGAUUUGAAAAAACUCAUUUUAAAAGAAAUCAAUUAAUUUUUUUUCAAAAAUAUAUCUAGAGAGCCAAAUUAUCAGUUUGAUCCUCCCAUCAAUUCACCAGUUGACUGGUUGUGGUUGUCAGUUAUGCAGGCCUAGACUUAAUUGAAGCUGAAUAUAGUGUUUUUCUGAAAGCGGAGGAAGCCAUCCUGGAUCCCAGAAGCUAUUAUAGUUUCAUUACAUGUAGUUUUGUGAGGCAAGUACCCAGACUAAUGAAGUCUAAUUUCCUGCAGAUUAAAAAAGAGAAGUGAUAAGAUAUCACUGAUGUUAGGUAAAGAAAUUCUGAAUAUAGCACAUUUAUUCUGUUAAAUUACUCAUGAACACAUGAAAACGUGGUUGCAAGCUAACGGGAGGGCCACUAGUAUUUUCUUCCUUUGAGAGCUGUGGGGGUGUGGGAAAUUCAAGAGCCCAUUCUGUAAUCUUAAAGCCUUUCAAGUAAAAACUCUGUGGGUGAUCUCAUUUCAAGAUAAAGUUAAACUAAUAUCACAGGUCAAAACUUGCCAGCCAAGAAACCUAAAGAAAAUAUACAAUUAUCACUACCAGGAAUGCACGUAAUAUUUGUAACCUAGAAAACCACUAAAGAAGAAUGCUAUUUGUAUUGAGCUUAACAUUGCAUUCAUUUUGAACAAAUGAACAAUAUAUGGGUAUAAGUACCUACAUUCUAAAAAUAUAUCACACCUACAAAUUUAUAGCACUAGGAAAUAUCAGUAGAAAAUCAGCUGUCAGUUUACUAGAAAUAUCAGGUAAUUCAGACUGUCCAAUGUUAAAAUUAGUCUUAAAAAGCACGUUAUUGCUAUCAUAAACCAUUAAAGGUGGUUUAUAACCAGGGGAAAAAUCCUUUAAAAUCCUUCACUACUACAAUUCACAAGCCAUUGCUACAAUUCACAACUCGUUUGUUAGAGUCUUAACCGCCCUCAGCUUUGCCUUGGGCCAUUAACUAACAAACCAAUCAUUAACUGCUAGUAAUGACCACUUUCCCAGGGAUUAUUGCUUAAUUCAACUCUUGUGUGGGAUCCAUUAUUUUCUGAGAUGUCAAAAUAACUAUGCAUUAAGACAUUUUUCUGUAAUAAAAGCACCUCCUGAAAUAAACAAUGUGAAUGUCAGAGAAUUAAAUUGUUCAGUGUACACACUAUUUAAAAUACAUUACUUUAAUGAACAAUUCUGAUGUUUCGAGGGAACAUUCUCAUUUUUUCGCUCUCCUGAGCAUAUCUAUCAUGUAACUUAGAUGCAGAAUUAAUAUGUAUUUUUCUUCAGUAAAACACACAAUGUCAAGACAUUUAUAUUAGUAAACUGUGUUCUAUAUUCAUCUGAGUAAGGCACAUUUGAUUAUUAGCAUUCUGCUCCUGAGAAACAAGGCAGGUUUGCUUGUCUGUUGCCAUGGAAAUAAAUUAGGAAGGAUAACCUGCCUACUUAUCAAUUUUUAUUAAUGCAAUCAGCCUACCUGCUUAACCCAUAAGUAACAAUAGCACAUUUAAACUAAGCCAAUAAAGCCCUGUAACUCUAGGGGUGCCAGUUAAAGUAAAUAGGAUAGAAAAUUGCUGAAAUAAAAAGUCUGAGUUAUGUGUCAUAGUUAUGGGCCCCAUUAAUAUUACAGGAUAAAGAAUGUUGCCAUUGAGAGGGCUCUAAUGGUGGAAUUACCUUCAACUAACAUUUACUGAGAGGAGGAGAGGCAACUGAGACAAGAAGUCAAGAGGUAUGUAAUAAAACACAAUUGCCCUCCUACUGUAUUGAAGCGGUUUAUAGCUGUAUGUGUUAAAAUUUGAAACUAAAGGAAUCCUAAUUCAAUGCUAGCCAAAUAAACAUGAAAAAUAUAGCAUAUGUUUGAUUGUGAUUAUUUAACAUGCGCUAGAAUAAAGUUCACUGUCCUACAAUAUAAGAAGAACAAAGCUUUCUAAGCCAAUCAAUAUCAAGUUACAAGAUCAAAAAUAGUUAACUUUUAAAAUAUAAUAUACUCAUUUUUAAGUACUCCAGACCCAUGUUUAUUCAUCACUGCAGGUCCAACUAAGCUUAGAAAUAAUUGAUGUUUUCUCCCAGUAAUUCAGACUGACUUGAUCCUCAAUGCCUACAAAUUACUGAGAUUUUACAAAGAUUUUGCAUUAUUGUCAGGGAAAUAGCAAAUACACAUGCAUUUAUUUUCUGAAGUGGGAGAAAAAUUACUUGAGUAUCAUUAUCUAGUUACUAGAUUAAGGAAACACUUAUCACAACAGAGGCAAAAAUCUAAUAUUUAUAAAAUAAUGUUUAAACUUUAGAUGAGGAUAUAACUUUUAAAAAAUGAUCACUUAGUCAUAAAUUUCUAUUUUUCAUCUUCAACUAUAUUCAGUUGCUCAGAGUUUACUAUUCAGAAAACUGAAAUUUAAUGACUGAUCAUUAUGACAUUCACACAACAGAUUAAUCAUAAAUGUGAGAAUUAAAUCAAGUUACUUAUUCUAAUUUUGCAAAAACAAAAAAAGUUUCUGUUGUAAUUCAUAGUUAUUUGAGUUAUAACAUCUCCUGGAUAAAUAAUUUUUUUUUUUGAGACAGAGUCUCACUCUGUCGUCCAGGCUGGAGUGCAGUGGCAUGAUCUCUGUUCACUGAAACCUCCACCUCUGGGAUCAAGGGAUUCUCCUGCCUUAGCCUCCUGAGUAGCUGGGAGAUAAAUAACUUUUUAAAAAGAUCAUCUUAUAUUUACACUAAUAAAAGCAGGUUAUGAAAUACAAAAUCAUCCUUUUUAUGGAUCCCUAUCUAUUCAAUCUGUGCAAAAAGAUGGCUAUGAUAUCUUUAACAUUUAAAGGAUAAUGUGGGUAGACAGUUAACGUUUAUUAUCCAUCAAACCCAAGGUGAAUCCUUAAAUAUACACUGUCCCAUUCAUCUCUAAGAUAAAACAAGUUGGUAAGAUACAUACAUGGUAUCAAGUUUAUAAAUAUGAAAUUACGUCUUAGAAAUGAUAAAUGACAUUCCAAAGUUAACAAAUGGUAAAUAGCAAAGACACAACUGGAACCACAGUUGAUCUUAUUAAAAGUGAUGCAAAAAAAGCAAUUACUUUUGCACCAACCAAAUGUUUUGCAGGAUAUUAGAUAUGUAAGUCCCAUUUCCUAACUACAUUCCUAACAAAUACACAAUAAUACUAGUGCCAUAUAUUUUUGAAGAUGUAAUUUAUGAAGAGAUUGUGCUUGACAGAGUGGAAGUGAUGGGAAUUGAAAAUAUAUCAUAAACAGGGUCUCUGUUAUAAGAAAAAUAUUAGCAUCCAAUGUAGAUAAAUAUAAGUGGUUAACUAUGGUUAUAGGCCUAUAAAUGAGUCUAUCAAAAAGUUAUUUUUUCAGUUUCUUUUUACAAACAUUUAUAUUUAGAUGCAGAUCCCAUGCCAUGCUAUUCAUCCAUUUAAUGUGUGCAAUUCAAUUUUUUUAGUGUUUUCACAAAUAUGCACAACUAUCUUCAGUCAGUUAUUGAAUAAUUACUUCACCUCAAAAAGAAACCCCACACUCUUUAUUCAACAUUACCCUAGGUCCUCAAACCUAAGCAAACACUAAUAUGGAUUCUGUCUCAUAAAUUUGCCUACUCUGGACAUUGAAUAUAAAUGGCAUCAUAUAAUAUGUAUUAUUUUGUGACUAGCUUCUUCCACUCGGUAUAAUCUUUUCAAGUGCCAUUCAUGCUAUAACAUAUAUUGUUAUUCCAUUGCAAGGAUAUACAUAUUUUUUACAUCCAUUGUUCAACUGAUAAAUAUUUAUUUGGGUUGUUCCCAUCUUUUCACUAUUGUGAAUAAUGUGCUAUAAACAUCCAAGUACAAGUUUUUGCUUGGACAUAUGUUUUCACGUCUCCAAUGUACAUGUCAUUCUAAUGGGCGGAAAGAGCUAUUCCACUGUGGUUUGGAUUUGCAGUUCCCUUAUGAUUAAUGACAUGAAAUACUUGCAAGUGCUUAUUGGCUUUCAUAUAUCUUCCACGGGGAAAUUUCUAUUUUGAUCUUUUACCCAUUUUUCAUGAGAUUUUUGACUUUUUUAUUUACUUUAUUGAGUUGUAAUAGUAUUUAAUAUAGAUAAAACUUUCAGAUCAGAUAUAUGAUUUGCAAAUAUUUUCCCAUUCUGCGGGUUGCCUUCUCCCUUUCUUAAUAAUGUCUGUUGAAUGGAAUACUAUGCAGCCACAAAAAGAAUGAGAUCAUGUCCUUUUCAAGGACAUGGAUGGCGCUAGAGGCCAUUAUCCUUAACGAAUUAACACAGCAACAGAAAACGAAAUACUGCAUGUUCUUGCUUAUAAAUGGGAGCUAAAUUAUGAGAACACACAGACACAUAGAGGGGAACAACGCACACUGGGGACCCUCAGAGGGUAGAGGUUGGGAGGUGGGUGAGGAUCAGGAAAAAUAAGUAAUGGGUACGAGGCUUAAUACCUGGGUGAUGAAAUAAUUUGUAUAACAAACCUGCAUGACACAAGUUUACCUAUAUAACAAACCUGCACAAGUAUCCCUGAACUUAAAAUAAAAGCUAAAGGAAAAUAAUGUCUGUCGAAACACAAGUUUUUUUUUAUUUUGAUAAAGUUCAAUUUAUCAAUUUAUCAAGUUAAAUAAAAUUUCAAUAUCAAGUUAAAUAAAAUUUAUCAAUUUUAUUGGUUUCUCAUGGUUUUGUUUCAUUUCUAAGAAUGCACUGCUAAAUCUAAGGUCAGGAAAAUUUUCCUCUGCUUUUCUUCUAAGAGUUCCAUUGCUUUAACUCUUAACAUUUAGGUCACAGAUUUAUUUUCAGUUAAUUUUUGUAUACAGUAGGAGGUAAGAGUUUAAUUUUAUUAUUUUGCAUGUGACUAUUCAGUUUUCUUAGUACAACUUGUCUUUUGUUUGUUUUGUUUGCUUGUUUGUUUUUAUUAGAGACAAAUUAGUGGUUCGUAUCACUUGUUGAAAGACUUUUUCUCCAAUGAUGGAAUUUGGCACUCUUUCAGAAAAUCAGUUGACCAUAGACACAUGGGUUUAUUUCUAGAGUUUAAAUUCUAUUCCUUUGAACUAUAUGUCUGUCCUCAUGACAUUACCACACUGUCUUGAUUACUGUUGCUGCAUAGUAAGUUUUGAAAUCAGGAAGCAUAAGUCAUCCUAUUAUGUUCUUUUAAAAAUUUGUUUAUUUUGGGUCCCUUGCAAUUUCAUACAAAUUUUAGAAUCAGUUUGUCCAUUUCUACCAAUCAAUCAGUUGGAAUUCCGACAGAGAUUGAGUUAAAGUUGCAGAUCAAAUUGAGGAAUAUUGAUAUCUUAACAAUAUUAAGUUUUCUGGUCCAUAAACAUUGGAUUUUUUAAAUUCAUUUAAGUAUUUAAUUUUUUGAAUAAUGCUUUAUAAUUUUCAGAGUAUAGCUGUUCUUCUUUUGUUAACAUAUAUCUGAUAAGGAAUUAAUAUCCAAAAUAUAUUAGGAAGUCACAUAACUCCAUAGCAAGAAAAUAAGUAAUUUUAAAAUGGGCAUGUGAUUUUUCUUUUCUUGUGAGCUCUUUAUCUAAUUUUGGUGUCAGGGUAAUAGUGAACUCAUCGAAUGAGCUGGGAAGUAUUCCCUUCUAUUCAACUUUUUAGAAGAGCCUGCGAAGAUUUGGUAUUAAUUCUUUUUUAAAUGUGUGGUGUAAUUCAGCAGUGUAGUCAACUAGGCCUGAGCUUUCUUUGUGGGUAGCGUUUUGAUUAUUAAUUAAAAGCCUUCACUUAAUGUAGGUUAAUUCAGAUUAUCUAUUUCUUCUUGAGUGUUUUAAGCAAUUUAUUUUAAAAUCAAUUUAGCAAAGACAGAAGAAAUAUGCAUUCAUACUGUCUUUUAUAAUUAUGUAAUUGCCUUUACUAGGGUUCUUUGUUUUUUUGUGUGAGUAUAUGGAUCUAAAUUCCUGUCUGGGCUAACAGCCUGAGAAAAGUUUUUUUAGUGAUUUUUGUAAGGUGUCUAUUUUAAAAACAAAUUUUCUCAGUUUGUGAUUAUCGGGUAAUAUUUCUAUUUCACUUUCAUUUUUGAAAUACAGCUUCAGACUUUUGGUUGACCGUGUCUAUGACCACUUUGUAUAUGAUAUGCUAUUGCACUGCCUUAGGCUUCCCUUGUUUCUAAUGAGAAGUCAGUUGAUAAUUUUAUUGGAGUUCUCUUGUAAGGGAUGAGUUUUGAUUUUGGGCUUUUCUUUUCUUCUCUUGGUACUUUCAAGAGCUUGGCCAGGUGCGGUGACUCAUGCUUGUAAUCCCAGCACUUUCGGAGGCCUAGGUGGGUGGAUCACCUGAGGUUAGGAGUUCAAGACCAGCCUGACAAACAUGGAGAAACCCUGUCUCUUCUAAAAUUACAAAAUUAGCCAGGUGUGGUGGCACAUUCCUAUAAUGCCAGAUACUCGGGAGGCUGAAGCAGGAGAACUGCUUGAACCUGGGAGAUGGAGGUUGUGGUGAGCCAAGAUCACACUAUUGCACUCCAGCCUGGGCAACGAGUGGGAAACUCUGUCUCAAAAAAAAAAAAAAAAAAAAAACAAAUUUUUUUUUGUCUUUCAGCAUUUUUACUGUGAUGUGUUUGUGGAUCACUUUGCAUUUACUCUACUCGGAGUUCGUUGAGCUCCAAGGAUCUGUAAAUUAUUGUUUUUCAAUAACUUUGGGAAGUUUUUAACUGAGUUUUAAAAUAUUUUAUGUGUUCUUUUCUUUCUCUUCUCCUUCUAGUACUCCCACUAUGCUUAUGCUAAUGUGAUGAAUAAUGUCCACAUUUCCCAGACGCCCUCUGUUCAUUUCUUUCUUCAUUUUUCUCUUCGUUAUUCAGAUUGAAUAAUCUCUAUCAGUCUAACUCCAAAUUUGCUAAUUAUUUCUUCUGCCAGUUCAACUCUACUGCUGAGCUGUCUUUCUACAUUUUUUCACUCCAUUAUUAUACUUUUCUAGUGCAGAAUUUUUACUUCUGUUUCAUAAUUUCUAUUGCUCUAUUGAUACUUUCUAUUUGGUUACAUAUUGUCAUCAUAUCUUCCUUGAAUUCUUUAACUGUGCUUUUCUUUCAUUCUUUGAACACAUUUAUAAUGAUGUUUUGAAGUCUAUUACUGUUAAAUCUGACAUCUGUUUACGCUCAUAGGCAGUUUUUGUUGCCUGCCAUUUUUUUUUUUUUUUUUUUGCACAUCUCAUUAUAUAUUUCUUGUGAUCUUUGGAAAGUGAACAUUUUACAGAAUACAUUAUAGCAACUCUGAGUAACCUUCUCCCAGGUUUAUUUGUAUUUGCUCAUUGCUUAUUUAUUUAUUACUAGCUGGGUUUUUUUAGUGGCACCUACUCCUCUCCCCACUUAACCCUCUGAUGUUAUGCUUGUUAUGCCUGAUCAGGGCAGUUACGGAUUGAAUUGUGUCCACUCAAAAUGUAUAUGCUCAUGCACUGACCUCCAGUGCCUCAGAAUGUGACUUUAUUUGGAAACAGAGUCAUUGCUGAUGUAAUUUUUAAAUUAGAAUGAGGUAAUAAUGGAGUAGAAUGGGCUCCUAAUCCAGUGUGCCCAAUAUCCUUAUAAAAAGAGAAAAUUGGCCGAGCAUGUUGGCUCACACCUGUAAUCCCAGCAUUUUGGAAGGCCGAGGCAGGUGGAUCACCUGAGGUCAGGAGCUCGAGACCAGCCUGACCAACAUAAUGAAACCCCGUCUCUACUAAAAAAUACAAAAAAAUUAGCCAGACCUGGUGGUGGGCACCAGUAAUUCUAGCUACUCGGGAGGCUGAGGCAGGAGAAUCUCUUGAACCCAGGAGGUGGAGGUUUCAGUGAGCUGAGAUCACGCCAUUGCACUGGAGCCUGGGUGACAGAGCAAGAUUCUGCCUCAAAAAAAAAAAAAAAAGGAAAUCUGGAGACAGACCCACACACCGGGACAAAACCACAGGAAGAUAAAGACAGCGAUUGUGGUGAUGGUUCUACAUGACAAGGAAGGUAAAAAUGGCCAGCAAACCACCAGAAACUAGAUGAGAAGCAUAGAAUACAUUCUCAUUCACAAACCUCAAAGGAGACAACAUUGCUAACAACUUGAUCUUGAACUUUCUAGCCUCCAGAACUGCAAGGCUAUAAAUUUCUGUUGUUACAGUUUGUGUUACGUUGUUAUGGCAGCUCUAGCAAAGUAAUAUAGGGCAUAGCCUUGGUUAUCUCAUAGUCAUUCUGGUAUGACAGUGGUUUUGACAGCUCUCUUUGAACUCUUUCCUUGACCUCAUUCAGCUGUUCUGUUCCAGUAAUUGCCAGUUGAUUGCUCUAUAGUUUUCAGCAAUAUUCUGAAUCAUAAAUUGAUCCAUAGACAAAGCCAAUCAAGUUCAGGCUCCUUGGAAAGGAUAAUUUGUGAGAACACUGUUUGAGAUUUUAUUUUUUCUCAUCCCAAGUGGGCUCCUCCCACUUAUUUCUUUUUCUGGUUCUCUCAAAGUAUCUGGCAUAAAGUUUUGUCUAUGUCAAAUGAAUCCAGUCAUCUCUUCCCAAUUUCCUUUCACUACAACCUCUCUUGCUUUUGAGAGCACUCUUAGACUUGAAUUUCUCCACAUUCUAUUGCAUGUAAAGAGAAUUACUUUGAGAGAAGAUUAAGAGCUAUGUGUUCUAUGACAUGCUUCUCCCCAGCCUCCAGGCAAAAUCUCUGAGCCACAUCUCUGGAGUUUGAUAUGGAGACAGUGGUGUUCUUCACUCUGAGUGACACCUUGCUUUAGUAACUGAGUGUCCCAUGGUGGAGAGUAGGGAAAGUAGCCUUAGAUCUUCCUGCUAAGUCUUCUGAUAUGGAAUCACUAUCUUAGGAACAAAAGCAAGGGCCCCAGGAUCUCAGUAGUGCCAUGCCCAAGGUAGAGGUUACAUCUCAUGUUUUAGAAUGAAUGGAAGAAACCACCAUCAUUUGGCUAAACUCAUAGUCUCAGUAACGUAUAGCUGGGUUCAGGAUGCAAAGUGUUCAUGUCUUGCCUUUCCUAGGAAAAUAAUACUCUAACAGGAAGCUAGGGGAAGAGGUAGACCUUUAUUUUUGGUUGCACCCAUUUGCAGUUGAUACAGAUAGGAGACAGAGAAUUACUGGGUAGAAGAGGGUGGUUCCCCAGCACAGGCCCCACUCUCAAGCCUGGAUACCUGUAGCCCUAAAAUGAGGAUAGGCAUUCCUGUUUUCAAGCCCAAAAGCUGCCUCUGGCCUGCCAUUCCCCCUAUCCUCUACCCAUAUAAACCCCUGACUCCAGGCUCCAGAAGUAGAGAAGGAGAUGAGCAUAUCAACAGAAGAAUGGUGUGGCAGAGAGAAGAGAAGGGACAUCUGAACACCGAGUGGACUUUGGCUGGGGAUGGUCAGAGAGGAGAUUGGCUGUUGAGCAGCCAAACUCCAGCGGAAGAUCAUCUUCCCACUCCAUCCCCCUUCCAGCUUCCCAUCUAACCUGCUGAGAGUCUCCUCCACCACUCAAUAAAACCCCCGUAUUCAUCCUUCAAGUCCGUGUGACACGAUUCUUCUGGGACACUGGACAAGAGCUCAGGAUACAGAAAGCUGUCACACCGGCCCUCUGCCCUUUCAAAAAAUGGUCCACUGAGCUGGUUAAUACUUAAGCCAUCCGUGGAUGGCAAGGCUAAAAGGGUGAACUUUAACACAUGCCCAUUUGGGCUUCGGGAGUCACAGGCUGUCACACCUGGAUGCUGCCAUGGGGCUGAAGCCUAGGGGUGCUCACUCCAGCUCCUACACCUGCCCGUCUGUAUGCUCCACCUCCUAUAAGGGGUUUGAGCAGCAGCAGCGACCUAACAGACAAGUCACAAUCCUGUUGCAUGUCCUCGGAGGGGAGUCAGGGAACUCUCCUGUUUCAGAGUGAUGUUUCUAUUUUGCUUAAUAUACAAGGAUGAGUAGGAAGAAAGUCUCAGUUCAAAUACCUCAAUUCUCACUGUUCUUACAAAAUGCUAGUAGAUUUUCUUCCAUAAAUAUCUUGUCUAUAUGUCCCUCAUAUCACUUCCUGAGACUUUAAAUGAUUGUUUUUAAGUAAUUUUCACCAUUUCUGCUGGAGUGUGGGUUGCUGGAGCUCCUCAUUCUGUCAUGCUGUAAAUGCCUUUUAAUAUUUUUGAGUGUGUGAAAAAACUAAUAAUAAAGAUUAAUAUAAGACACCAUGGGCUUGUGCUUCAUCUUUUAAAGAUUUAAAGUCAGCAGUUCUCAAGGAAAAUGCUACCCUGGAAAGAAAAUAUAACCUUAAAGUCUGGCAACUGCUCUGGACUUUUUCCUGAGAUUUUCUUUCAAGAAUAAUUAGCUUUCGAAUUCUUAGACAAGAUAUAUUCUGAAAUAUAUCCAAAUCGCCAGACUUUAAAAGGUCAUUAACAAAUCCAAUGAAUGAGGGCAUAGUAAUGCAUUUAGAGAUCAAAAAUGGAGCAAGAAUUCAAGUAUAUAUUCAGCUUUCUGAAACCCCCUCUGUCUGCUCUAUCAACAAUCACCAAAAGGAGACUGAACAGGAACUGCCUAUCCAAUUCCUACACUGAGCACAAAACAAGGUAUUGGUGAAUGAAAUGAUUGCUUAGAAAACUGAAAGCACUCCUCUUUGACUGAAUACAGCUUGAUUUAUUCAUAGAUAAUGUUUUAAGAUAGGAGUUGUGUUAUUAUUGAUUUGUUGUUAUUGACAUAACCUACAUCAAGUAUAACAAUUUUCUAAAUAUUUCAGUGAUAUGAGAAAGUCUUAUUAACUAUUUGAUUUAUAAGAAUAUUUUAAAAACCAUGUAGAACUGCUAUAAGAUUUUUGCAAAAUUAUCGUGUCAGAAAUGGUACUAAGAUUUAUCACUUGGCACUGUGUCUUACUGUGUUUCUAAUAAGUUGUUUUGUGCACUAUUUUUUAAGAAUUUUCUGAUAAUGAUUACUUUUGGAGAACUCUGUAAGUGUAAGUUAUUAUUUGUUAUCUCAUUUUCUUAGAGGUUUACAUAUAAAUUUGCUAUUGUUUGUUUUUUCACACAUAGUAUAAAAAUAUAAUAGUUGCAGCAUGGUACUUAAUUUCAUUCCAUUCACUUCUUAAUAAGCUGUAUUUGUACUCAAAAGGCAUUUUUAGAAAUGUGCUCACUAAUAUAAUCUCUCAUCUAUAAUUUCUACCACAAGGCAGCUAAAAUUCCCUCUUGAGCAAGAUAGAUGUGCAAAUUUAGUAUUUUAAUGAGGAAGUUUAAAUUUAUUUUCAAGAACACUUCACUUAGGCUAGGUUAUUUUGAACAUGUAUAAAUACAAGCACUCAAUGUUUUAAGUGGGAAACCACUACUUGCUUAUAGUGCUGGGAUGCAGAUAGUCAGGUUGAGUUUAAAAAUAACCUUCCCUGAAGAUCCUUUGAUUAAUUUAUCCCAGAGCAAGUUUUCUUUACUGACCUUUGCAUGAACUUCACUCACUGCUGUAUGACCUCUGUUUUGCUUGUGCACAAUAUCUUUCUGUCCCUGCAGCUGGG